UUUUAUUUUCACAUCAAAUAACAUUGUGGUCUAUAAAUGCUCUAAACUCAUAUCUUAUUUCUCAUAAGCAACCAAACUAUUAAGAAAUGUUGCUUGAAGCAGUAGCUAUCUUCGUCAUCACACUCUCAUUCAUUGUUUUUGUGUUCCAAAGAAAACACCAUGGGAGAAGUGCACCAGGUCCCAAACCCUUGCCAAUCAUUGGUAACCUUCAUAUGCUAGGAAAACUCCCACAUCGAACCCUUCAAGCUCUUGCCACAAAAUAUGGUCCCAUAAUGUCCUUAAAGCUAGGGCAGCUCCCAACCAUAGUUGUGUCUUCCCCACAACUGCAGAACUGUUCCUGAAAACCCAUGACAUUGUUUUUGCCAGCAGACCCAAAAUCCAAGCCACAGAACUUCUUUUUUAUGACAGCAAGGGUUUAUCUUUUUCUGAGUAUGGUGCAUACUGGCGCAACGCGAGGAAAGUGUGCACUCUGCAGCUUCUGAGUGCCUCAAAGGUUGAGAUGUUUGCUCCUCUGAGGAGAAAAGAACUGGGAGUGUUGGUGAAGUCGCUGAAAAAUUCUGCAGCAUCAGCUGAGGUUGUCGAUCUGAGUCAGUUGCUGGGAGAGCUUUUGGAGAACAUCGUGUUCAAAUUGGUGUUGGGGAGUGCCAAAGAUGAUAGAUUUGACUUAAAAUUGCUGGUUCACGAAGUUUUGAACUUGGUUGGAGCUUUCAAUCUUGCAGAUUACAUGCCCUGGUUAGGAGUGUUUGAUCCUCAGGUAUCAAAUUCAAGCAGCUAUAACUUGUUAGCAUAUGCAUCCAUCGGAUCAAUUUUCAUAAGAUGAUUAACUGAUGUAAUAAUAUAUAUAUAUAUAUAAAAUCAAAUGAUAAAUAAACUUAUUAAAUAAUAAAUUUUAAGUCUAACUUAAUUUUAUUUAAUUAAUUUAUUUUGUAAAAUAAGAUUUAAACGAAAUUGAUUUUCAACCAUUUACAAAAAUAUCAGUUUUCGUAUAAUAAGUCAUCAAUUAUAUAUUAAAAAAAUAUUUUAAUAAAUCAAUAAAGAAAAUGACAUAUAUAUUGUGUAAAAAUAUUAUAAAAUAUCUGUAUGACCUGUCCUUAUAUUAUAGUGUCACGACAAAUCUCAUGAGGAACUUUGUUUUUGUUUUCUGGUGGAUAGAGACUAUAUAUGAUAUGGAGGACCUGUCCUACCAAUCUUUAACCAAUCACUUACAACCACUAGAAAUUCAUAUGCCUAUUUUCUACAAAAAGUUCAACCUUACGUUUCUUUUUAUCUAAUUUGUCUCUGUCCCACCCACCAACUAUAAAACAUUUAUACUUUUAUUAAACAAAAUAUAUUUAUUUUUUAAAAGUAAAUUCAUAUUAAACAUCAUUCUAAAAAAAUAUUAAAACAAACUAAAACAUAAAGAAAGAAAGAAAAAUAUGAUACACAAAAUCCAUAGUACGAUUACAUUACAUAGAAAAAAAAUAAUAAAUAUAAAGUGAAUGUAAAAAUUCAGUUUUAAGAUAAUAUAAUCACUAAAGCUAUUAAACUUUGCUAUAAAUCAUGAUUAAUUCACAUCUAUCCUUUUCUUUUUCUAUACUAAACUUUACAAUUACAUAAAUUAUUAUUUUAGUAUACUAUAAUAAAAAUAAAUGAACUAAUGUGUUUUAGAAACAAUGAUAUUAAGGUUUAUUUAUCCCUUAUACAUGCAACAAUUGUGCAGGGAAUAACAAAAAGAUUAAAAAAAGUAGCAAAGUCAUUUGAUGAGCUAUUGGAACAAAUAAUUCAAGAACAUGAAAAUAAUCUAUAUGACGAAGAUCAAAAUCGCAACAUGGACUUUGUGGAUAUUUUGUUGUCACUCACGCACCAAUCCAAUGAUGUUCAGAAUCACCAAGACGUCAUUGAUAGAACAAACGUAAAAGGUAUUAUAAUAGACAUCAUAAGUGCAACAUUUGACACCUCUUCCACAACAGUAGAAUGGGCCAUGUCACAACUCUUGAGGCAUCCAACUGUCAUGAAGAGACUUCAACAGGAGCUAGAACAUGUGGUCGGAAUGAAUAGGCAUGUGGAGGAAAAUGACUUGGAACAAUUGUCUUAUUUGAACAUGGUGGUGAAGGAAACACUAAGGUUACACUCGAUUGUACCUUUGCUAUUACCUCGUGAGUGUAGAGAAGAUAUAACUAUUGAUGGUUAUUUGAUAAAGAAAAAAACAAGGGUUAUAGUAAAUGCUUGGGCUAUAGGGCGAGAUCCUAAAGUUUGGGAUAUGGCCGAAAUUUUUGACCCUGCAAGGUUUGAAAAUAACAACAUAGAUGUUCGUGGAAAGGAUUUUCGGAUUUUACCAUUUGGGUCAGGUCGAAGAAUGUGCCCCGGAAUUCAUUUGGGUUUAACGACGAUUAGUCUUAUUUUGGCUGAAUUGGUGCAUUGUUUUGAUUGGAAGCUUCCACUGGACAUGUGCUGUGAUGAGUUAGACAUGGAAGAGAUAUUUGGACUCACCACACCAAGAAAGAAGCAUUUGCUCACUAGACCAGUUUAUCGACUCGCCAUUUAAGUUAAGAUAGGGUUGAUUUUAGUUCCAAUUUGAGACAUGUGACACAUUUAAAUUUUAUGAUAAAUUAAUUUGAACAAUGAUUUUGAUUUUGUAUUUAUGUGAUCGAGUGCUUCAUCCAUUUAAUGGUUUAAGUGUAACUAUAUUUGUUUGUCGUAUGUGAGAAUAUAGAUUUUCUGUUUGUGGUUUUGGAAUUGUGAUAUUUUGCAUUGAUGACAUUGCUUUCUAAGUGAUGAUUAAGGAGUCUUUUAAGAAUUCAAAUGAGUUAAAAGUUUUCAUUACUUAAAAAAAAUAAUAUGAUGUACAAUAUACAAAUAGAAAAAUCUAUAUUUAUUAGGUUUGUUGAAUUUAAAAAUUUGUUAAGAAAAACUAUUUUGAGUUUAAGAUUUUCAAAAUAACUGUCUUUAUUUUAUUUUAACUUACCUGCAAGAAAAAGGAGAGGAAUAUAAACAUGUUUAUAUGUAAAAGCCAUGAUAAAAUGUAACACAAAUAUUUUGAGAACACAGCGAAGAGAUAAUAAUGUAAUGACAUGUUUAUUGUAAUUAAAGUCACCAUUUUCAUAGUUUUUUUUUACCAGUUCUAUUCCAUAAUUGAUCAUUUAUUUUUUUUAUUUAUGUUUUUUGGAAUUUAAGUUUCUAUAAAAUAGGCUAAAUGCUAUUAAAUGAUAUACCAAUAUCUUACAUCACAAAAUUGUCUAACCUAGACAUAAAAAACGUCAAAUGUUAUAGAGCUCCUAAUUGAAUAUCUAAUCGCCAUAUGAUCUGAUAAAAAAGAUAAAGCGUAUAAACAUAAGUUUCGCUAAAUAUAACUAAACAUGUUUUUACCAAAUGAGUUGAGAUAUGCCAAUAUGUUUUAAACACGUAAACGAUUACCUACAUUUAAAAUAUUUAUUGUUGUACGAAAAAACACUUCUUUGUUUGUAAGUUUUGCUCUCUUUAUUUGUGCAGAUUUGUACAAAAUCUUUGCUCAAAUUCUUGCAAAAGAUGGAUAAAGACGUUAAGAGAUAGAAAGACAUUCUUUAAACUUUCUUUACAGCUUUUAGUUAUGAAGAACCAAAGAAACUACUUCUGGAGAAAUCUUUGAUAAAGCACACUCACUCUACAAUGACUUGGGUCUGACUGUACCUACCUUAAAAGGCUAUGAAAUUUACAUGGAGUCAACUCUAACGAUUAUCUCUUAAAGAAGAUUAUAUAAAGAUUAUUCACUGAAGAGAAGAAGAAGAAAACAAUUCUUUGAAUCUUUACGUUAUUGUUAUUCCUCUAAGUUCAUAUUGUUUAAAGUAUUUCAUUCAAAGAGAAGGAAUCUUUUACAAAUUUUCAUAAGUUCAUUGUAUUAUUUUUAUAUCAUUUCUAAGAGAGUUAUCUUUUGUCUUGUAAGAACUCAAAACACUCAAAAGUGAAUUCAAACACUUGUAUUAUUUAACUCAAUGGAGUUAAAGGUUCUAGACAAUUAAACUCGUCUAGUUAGAUUAACUAUAAUGUUUUGAUUAGAAGUGAUUGAUAAUAUUCGUUGUAUACCAGAAAUGGUUGAUAUUACUCGUCUACUAAUUGUAAUAUUUGUAAGAGAUUAGAAAAAUUCUUUAAAAGGUCUUACAGAAGAACUGAACUGAACGUAACUUUGGUUAGAGCGUUUUAUUAUUGUUUUCCUUUGUUAAAAUGUUUUUCUAUAAGCUUUAUUAAAAAUACAAAUUUCUAAUAAUUAUUGCAUACGGUCUAACUUCUGAAAUAGUUCUUAAGUGUUGAAUUGCAAAAAUAAUUUUAAAAAAAUAUUCAACUCCUUCUAUUGUUUUUCUGUAUUGCAAUUUGUAGUGGGGUCUUAUCUAAAAUUUAUUUUAGUUUUUUAAAUUUUUUUAAAAUUUAAUAUAAAAUGCAAUUGAAUGUUUUUAAUUGUUUUAAAAAAUUAAACUUUUUGAACAAAGAUGGUUGCAAAUUAAAAUAAGCAAUUGUUUAUAAUUGAAAAGUAAAAAAAUAAUAAGCAAAGUGAAGGUAAUGAAGUUGGGGAAAGAGAGGUGAAAAGGAGUAGAGGAGUGGUACUAACAGCAGGAAAAUGACAAUGUGGUAACGACAACAAAAAAAAGUUGAGGAUGAUAGCAAAACAACAUUAGCAAAAACAAAAAAAACUAAAAUAGUGGAGAAAGAUAUUUAGUAAAAAUCCUAAACAUUUCAUUAAAAAUAACCUAGACAACAUUUUAUGCUUCAAUUAUAAGAAAAAUCGAAGCCAAAUCUUCUGACUUAAAUAAUAAAAAUUAUAAAAAAACAUAAAUUUUAAAAAAUUCUACACAUUUUUCAACUUUGAUUCUUUAAAAAUCAAAUCAAAAAAAUAUAGAACAUUGGUUAACUUACUACAAAAAAAAAAAAACGUCAUUUAGGGUUUUUUUUACGAUUUGUGAGGUUUUCGCCCUCCGCUAAAUAAUUUAUGAGGUUUUUCAAACUUUCGCAGUUUGAGUCAUCACAAUCUAUCUGUAAGAGUUUUCUGCGACCCCGAUAUUAUAUUUAAUUUGCGGAAAUUUUUCUACGCAAGAUAAAAACUGGUUAUUAUUUUGUGGAAGUUUUUAACCUCCUUCAUUAGUGAAGCAAAAUCUCUUUUCUAAGAUAAAGUAAUAAUGGAGAUUGUGAAAAUUUUGUGUAUCUUUCAGCUUUAGUUGUUGAAAAACUAAAGUAGAAAUGAUGUAUGACUUUUGGUUAUUAUAGAAACCAAUUUCUCACCUUGAGGUAAAAUAAUUAAAAUAAUAAAUAAAACUUUGAAAAAUUAUGAAAUGUUUUACACGGACUUGAUUAAUGAAAAAGCGAAACAGAAAUACAUGUAUGUCUUCCGUUACUUUUCAAUUGAUAUGGAAUUCUGUUACAUUUAUUUAUUUAUUGUGCUUUGCUUUAAAAGGCAAAAAUUAAAAGUUUUUUAAAGUAGGCUCGAAGUUCACUUGAGAAAAUAAACACUAAUUUUAUUUUGAAAAAGAUUCUUUUAAUAAUAAUUUUUGAUAAUUUAUUAACAAACAUAAGUAAUAGGUAAUAGUUUGUGGUUAAUUUGUUUUAAAUAUUUUUUUAAAUAUAAAUUUAAAUAAACUAAUAAAAUAAUUACAUAUAUUCUAUUGUGAAAAUAUUAUUAAAAAAAUUAUCAAAAUAUCGUAAUGGUUUUAUUUUAUCUUCCUCCACCAAACUCACUGCUCCAUUACCUCUAACAAUAAUAUGAAUAUAUAUAUUUAAAAAUUUAUAAAUAUAUAUCCUCCAUGGAAGGUUUCUUCUCAGAUUUUGUUAUAUCACAUUUAAUUUGAUGUGACUUUCCAAUUCGGUGCGGCCAAUCACAAUGCCAUCUAUCCUAGGUUCUAGUCCUUACCUAAUAAAUAAAUAAUAUACAAUUUCAAAUUAUAUAAAUGUAACUUAUAUUAAAUAUUCUAUAUAAGGAUUGAUCAUCAUAGAGUUUUCUGUUUUUUUAUUAGAGGUUUUAUCGGUUUCUGAUUUUUUUUUUGUCUUAUUUGAGUUCAUAAUUUAAAAAAAUUGAAGCAAUAUGAUUUUUGUGGUUAAAUUGGUUGAAUGACUUUGAAAAAACAGUGACUAAACACGACGAUUAAAUUUCUUUAAUAAUGUGAUAUGGUAAAGAGAUUAGUGACGUGAAAUUUUGUUUUCUUAAAUAGAAAAUUGGACUUUUAUUUUUUGAUUUAUUGUUUUUUCGUAAAAAUCCUAAUGCACAAAUAUGAAAUUCCACUACUCACACACAUUCACAAUACAAACCAUCGCAUUCCACUGUUGAAACCCCAAUUCUCUAUGUAAAAAAUAGUUUUUGUAGGAACAUGAAGAACUUCGAAGGAAAAACAAUAAACCAAGAUGAAUGUCUAAUUUUCCAUUUAAAAAAGAAGAAUCCAUGUUGUUGACCUCUUUGCCAUCCCAUGUCGUUUAAAAUAUUGGAAGAGUGAAAUAGACUCAAUUAGGAAUCAUAAAUAGAUCUUAUUUUGGGAUGAUAAGGCAAGUUUGUGGCCAUUCUCCAAUGUUCAUUACUGUCGAUUUUUGUCUGUUGUUCAAAGUUUAAGUUGAUUAGUUUUUAGUUUUUUGUGUGUCUAAACUUCUCAGAUGUGAUCAAACGAAUGCAAGAUUGUCUUCUAGUCCAGUUGGAUUGUGUCAAUUCCUUGUUUGCUUGUCUUAUAGAUCUCCAAUGUCUCUCUUUUGUCCACCAUAAUCGCUCAAAUGUACUUGCAAAAGGUAUUUUCAUGCUAAAGUCAAUAAAUGACUAACUGGUUUGCAAUUAAUGCAGUGAUGCAUGUUAUGUCCAUGUAUAUUAAAGUUAUACUUUAAACUUUUAUUUAUGAUAGUUGUUAUGAACUUUUACUUUAUUGUUGGUCUAAUCAUAACCCAACCAUAUAUUAAUUAGUAUUAAGAGGUUCAUUCUUCAUUGUCAUUAUUAAUUUGACCAGAAAGUGAUCGACUAUAUUGUUCGGUCAUGAAAAUUAAUCACAGGAUGAUAUCCAAGAAAUUGAUUCCAAGUGAUCUAAACCAAGAGUUAUCUAAGAAUAAAUAGUUUAAAAAAACUAAAUAAAAAGAAUCAUCCAUAUCAGAAGUAAACCUUUAAGUUGAUGGUUGACUUCCGAUCAAAUAAACAUAUAAUACAAAUCUUAAUCACUAUUUAUAUUGAUUUAAACAUUUAAAAAAAUACUUGAUUUUAAUUUUUGAAAUUAUAUAUAUAUAUAUAUAUAUAUAUAUAUAUAUAUAUAUAUAUAUAUAUAUUAUUUAGCCUAACUUGGGGAAAGGAUUUGCCCACCAUACUAGAAAAAGAAAUUCGCAACUACCGUUUGAAAACGACAUUUUUGUUUAAUCUAGGAAUAAUUUAUGUAUUAAGUUCUUCAGAGUCAUUCUACUUUUACAAUUAUUACAUUUGAAAUUUAAUAAAAGUUCGAGGACGUUUAAGAAAAUUAAGGAUUUAUUUAAAUCAUUUUUAGUUUUGAUUUAUGUGAGACUAUUAAGGGUGUAACUGAUAAAAUUAAUUUUAAUUCAAAAAUUUAAUAUCAAUUUUUUUAGUUUUCUUUUUCAAAAGUAGAUAUCCUAAUGAUCAUACUUUUCGUUGUUAAACAAAUAUAUGUGUCAAUUACCUGUAUAGACACAUUGUUUUUAUCUAUCUGUUUAUUCAUAUACAACUAAAACUAGUAACUUAACUAUUUUUUUUUAAACGCUCUCUUAACUUACUUCCAUUAUAAAUUACAAUAUAUAAUAUAUAUUUCAGAAAUAUUCUUCCUCUUUUAACUUUUCUUCAAAUAUUCUCAAUACUUUCUUUGUCUUUCCUUCAAAUAUACAUUAAAAAACUGAUUUUAAUCUUGUCAAAAUAUUACUUUUCUUUUUUUUAUCUAUACUAAUAUAUUUAAAUUUCCGGAAAACAUUUUAUAUGUGUAUGUGUAUAUUUCUUUUUUAUUAUCACAUCAAAUAACAAUGUGAUCUAUAAAUACCCGAAACUCAUAUAUCUUAUUUCUCAUUAUCAAACUAAACUAUUAAGCAAUGUUGCUUGAAGCUCUAGCUAUCCUCUUCAUCACAUUCUCAUUCAUUGUUUUUGUGUUCCAAAACAAACAUGAUGGGAGAAGUGCACCAGGUCCCAAACCCUUGCCAAUUAUCGGUAACCUUCAUAUGCUAGGAAAACUCCCACAUCGAACCCUUCAAUCUCUUGCUACAAAAUAUGGUCCCAUAAUGUCCUUAAAGCUAGGGCAGCUCCCAACCAUAGUUGUUUCUUCCCCACAAACUGCAGAACUGUUCCUCAAAACCCAUGACAUUGUUUUUGCCAGCAGACCCAAAAGCCAAGCCACAGAAUAUCUUUCUUAUGGCAGCAAAGGUUUGGCCUUUUCCGAGUACGGUGCAUACUGGCGCAACGCCAGGAAAGUGUGCACUCUGCAGCUUCUGAGUGCCUCAAAGGUUGAGAUGUUUGCUCCUCUGAGGAAAGAAGAAUUGGGAGUGUUGGUGAAGACGCUAAAAAGUUCUGCAGCAUCUGGUGAGGUUGUGGAUCUGAGUGAGUUGCUGGGAGAGCUUAUGGAGAACAUCGUAUUCAAAAUGGUGUUGGGGAGUGCCAAAGAUGAUAGAUUUGACUUAAAAUUGCUAGUUCACGAAG
RNAcentral lists this long non-coding RNA (8596 nucleotides) under Vigna radiata. RNAcentral's name for it is "long non-coding RNA (VRAD_LNC000186)". Lineage: Eukaryota; Viridiplantae; Streptophyta; Magnoliopsida; Fabales; Fabaceae. The record is from RNAcentral.